GAGGAAUGCCGGCCAAGACACACCUUGACGGAGAGCGACUGUGUGUGUAGGGCUGCUAAAGAGUUACUGUCACGAAUUCAGAAGAGGUUCCAGAAGCCCCAGGAAAAGCUGGAGGCAUUGAAGGAGGCAGCCAGUGGCCUCCUUUCAAACCACAGAGAAGAACUGCAGGCAGCAGAGGAGCUCCUGAGGGAAACAGACCAAGACCCAGGAGAGCAUGGCCUGCUGCUCCUCCUUAAGGUCAACCUGAGAGAGUUCAGCCCAAGAACCCUAGUUUGGAAAAGCUGAUUCCUAUGAAAAACUGGAGAAACUAGGAGAAGGACCUUGUGCAGCAGUCUACAAAGGGAAAAGCGAGCCUGUCGCCCGCAGCCCUCAAGGAGGCAGAGGAGCAGGACGAGGCGCCGCCUUCCCCGGGUGGUGCCGCGCGCCCUCGCCUUGUCUGCGCUGCGCGCUGGACCAGUUUCGCGAAGUUGCCUCGGCCCUGCGUACCCCAGAUGUGGGACCUCAUGGAGCCAACAGCCAAGCGAGAAGAUCUGCAGGAUGAAGAACUUUGUCAGAGAGUUUCAGCAGCAUCGUGAUGGAGUUCGCGCCGGGAGGAAAUCUGAGGGAGCAAAUACUGGAAGAAGGCAGGCUGCAUGAGGAAAAGGUGCAGAAAAUAUUCAGACUGCUAGUGUCAGCCGUAGAGUGCCGCCCAUGGCCAUGGCAUCGCCCAUCGAGACCGGAAGCCCCAGAACAUCCUGCUCGAUUAGAUGCAGAGGGCGAUGUGAAGGUGGGAGACUCUGGCCUCACCACCAGGUAUGCAGCUGGCACUGUGCUGCAAGGGCGCUGUGGGACUGAGAUCUACAAUGCUCCAGAACUGGUUCUGAGGAAAGGGGACGAUGGGAGGAAGGCAGAUAUCUGGAGUCUGGGUAUACUGCUCUGUUUUAUCACCACGGGGCACCACUCCUUCUGAAGAAGCACCCUGAAAGAGAUAUCCACCCAGAAAGAGAUAUUGAGAAGAGUAUAUCCAAAGGAAGGUAUUACAUCACAGCUUACAUCUUUAAAAGACUUGAUAAUCUCUGUUUUUCAAAUGCUCAGUGUUACCCCAGAGAGGAGGCCCAACAUUGAAGACAUUCAGCAACAUCCAUGGGUCAAGAACCCUGAAGGAAACAUCCCUAGUGAGCCCUUCCCAGAUCCUGUAUUUGUAAAAGAGCUCUUUUCCUAUGGAUUUCCUCUAAAAAGAUCAUAUACUCCUUAUAUAAAAGAGAAUAAAAUGAGAUCAUGAGGCCAUUCCUAUUAGAACAGGCACAACAGGAGCUUGACCCCACCACCUCAGUCAAGGCGGGAAACCCUGGCGCUGCACCUCUACCAUCUCUGCUACCUGCUUUAACAUCUGGUCAUCACCUGAGAAGAAGAGCCAGUGAGCCCGCCCAUGACUGGCCUUUUCCACACCCAGUCUUCAGAAGAGGAUAUACCUAAUGUCCUGACAUUAUCAGGGCAGAGGAUGCCCAGAGGGGCGGUUCCCCAUGCCUCUAUGUUGUCCCCAGAAGAAGAGCCCCACUUCAAGCCAUGCCCCACUGACCAAGGCUGCAUCUGCCCCAUGUGUCUGCCACAUGUUAACAGAAGAAAUGCCCCUCCCACCUAGACCUGACCCUGACAUGGAGACAGCAUCUUCCACUCAGAACACUGGGUGCUGCUGGAGACUGAGCAGGGAAAUCAGGGCUAGCCUGUCAAGACUGUGUUGCUUCCUGGGGGCCCCAAAUACACAAACCCGGCCUGUGUUCAACACCAGAGUGGCUCCACUGAGAGAGGCAGGAGGAGAAACCCAGUAAGGGAUCCCUGAGUCCCUGAAUGGGGACCUUUCAGAUCCCUCUGGUUGGACCUGUUUGUUCCUCUUCAUUCUUUGAAUAUUGGGGUAUGUGGGGGGGGUUAUGAACUCUCCCCCCCUGAACAUUCCCACAUCAUGCUCAGUUUUCAGAGCUGCCUUCCUCUUUCAGUAAAGUGAUCCCUGCUGUUGAACUUGUGGGUCCCAGCUCUCUUCUCCAUAGAUGUGUGCAGGCAGACAGCCACUGAAACUGCAUUGAUCAGCUAGAGUUCCCUGAUGCCAAAAGCCUGCACCAGACAGGACUCCUGGACCUGCAUCAGCUGUGUCUCACCAGCGAAGACUUCCUGAUCAUCCUUUAGCUUGGAGGAUGCAGUGUUCUCUGCUUCCCUCUUCAGUUACCUUGUCUUCUCAACGGCCAUUGCCUGGCCUUAGGCCUCCUGGUGCACGUGGACCCCUGGCAGACCAUGGUCUCUGUGUGCAGGACAGGAGGCCAUCAUCGCUAGAUCAGACAUCCUCAUCUGCAUCGUCACCACCAUCUCUAAUAUGGAGAUUUGUAGAUUGCCUGAGAAGAGUUGUGAUUUCCAUGCUACUGACUGAGCUGCAGACCUGACUGUAGUCCUGCUACCCGGAAACAGAAUGUUAAUGCACUUCCACCUUAGUUUACCUUGGGGGAUAAAAGGAGUUUGGAUAAUAAACAUGGGUGAUCUUCAGGAUUUGAAUGAAGCCUGAGACUCCCUUCCGAUAUCGCUGUGUGAACUGUGUCUCAAUUAUUCCCACGCCUCCACGCUGGUCCAGAGAAGGAAAAGUGGUUUAUGUUGGGACAUGGGGCCCCCGAUAGGAUCCGUGCUCUUUACUCGUGCUUCAGUCAGCGUGCUGGAGACAAGUUCCCUCAGUGGAAUGGCGGUGAGAGCAGCUAGAAGAGGCUCAUUGAAACUGCUUCUCCUUGGAAGGUCACUAUUGGAGGAUGCUCAGGGCCUCUGAAAGCUCCUCCUUGCUGUCACCUGACACGUGCCAUCCCUCAGUUCCUUGUCAGAACUCCUUAGGCCAUGUACUCUGGGUGCCACAGAGCGCCAGUUGGGAGCCAAACUAAUGAGAUGAUCAUG
Long non-coding RNA from Microtus ochrogaster (prairie vole), 2904 nucleotides. RefSeq lists it as uncharacterized. The record is from RefSeq and is a predicted model, not a curated record. NCBI's taxonomy places the organism in Eukaryota, Metazoa, Chordata, Mammalia, Rodentia, Cricetidae. The transcript has 8 exons.